UACAGAGGUCUCAAGCGUUGUUCGGAUUCAUUGGGCGUAAAGGGUGUGUAGGUGGCGCGCUAAGUCGGGUGUGAAAUUUCGGAGCUUAACUCCGAAACUGCAUUCGAUACUGGCGUGCUCGAGGACUGGAGAGGAGACUGGAAUUCAUGGUGUAGCAGUGAAAUGCGUAGAGAUCAUGAGGAAGACCAGUGGCGAAGGCGGGUCUCUGGACAGUUCCUGACGCUGAGGAGCGAAAGCGUGGGGAGCGAACAGG
Molecule: ribosomal RNA, 253 nt
Filed under: uncultured bacterium
Lineage: Bacteria
Description: partial 16S ribosomal RNA
Rfam family: Bacterial small subunit ribosomal RNA
Source: RNAcentral